This 411-nucleotide ribosomal RNA is filed under the name Triticum aestivum (bread wheat). RNAcentral describes it as "partial small subunit ribosomal RNA". Lineage: Eukaryota; Viridiplantae; Streptophyta; Magnoliopsida; Poales; Poaceae. The record is from RNAcentral.
AUGGAACUAACAGUUGAUGAUAGAGAUGUUUUGAAUGAAAAGUUACGAGGGUCACGCGUGCAGCGCCGCAAAAGCAUGUCCGAGAUUCAGAAGGGGCAGUCAAGUGCUCAAAGGAAGGCCUCUUAUGCUAAAAGGAAAAACACCCCGUGCAAAGAAUCUCUCGCACUCCCACGUCCAGACAUUACCAUGUCAACUUCUGAUAGUCUCGUAGUCCCCCUCUCUCGAGCUGGCGAUGAUGAUUCAUCGGAUGGCGACCCUCCCGCGGUCAUGCCGAAUUACGGUGUUUGCACCAAUGACGACAUCGAUGUGUUCCUAGAGCCCAUCAUGGGCGAUGAGCCGACACCAGCCGAAUUGAUGGAUGAAGAGUACUACAUGUAUCGCGACCAAGGAUCCGAUAAUGACACAUUCUAG